AGUGAACGCUGGCGGUAGGCCUAACACAUGCAAGUCGAACGGCAGCACAGUAAGAGCUUGCUCUUCCGGGUGGCGAGUGGCGGACGGGUGAGGAAUCCAUCGGAAUCUACUUUUUCGUGGGGGAUAACGUAGGGAAACUUCCGCUAAUACCGCAUACGACCUACGGGUGAAAGCAGGGGAUCUUCGGACCUUGCGCGAUUGAAUGAGCCGAUGUCGGAUUAGCUAGUUGGCGGGGUAACGGCCCACCAAGGCGACGAUCGGUAGCUGGUCUGAGAGGAUGAUCAGCCACACUGGAACUGAGACACGGUCCAGACUCCUACGGGAGGCAGCAGUGGGGAAUAUUGGACAAUGGGCGCAAGCCUGAUCCAGCCAUACCGCGUGGGUGAAGAAGGCCUUCGGGUUGUAAAGCCCUUUUGUUGGGAAAGAAAAGCAGCAGGUUAAUACCCCGCUGUUCUGACGGUACCCAAAGAAUAAGCACCGGCUAACUUCGUG
This 492-nucleotide ribosomal RNA is filed under the name uncultured bacterium. RNAcentral's name for it is "partial 16S ribosomal RNA". It matches the Rfam family "Bacterial small subunit ribosomal RNA", at positions 29 to 507 of the family's 1533-position model. The record is from RNAcentral.